CUCUCUUUCUGUCUUGUAGAUUCUGUAGUGGAUCAGUAUGAGAAUAUGCCAGAAUCUGAGCGGCAUUCGCCUGGUGACUAUGUCAAUGUAUUAGAACCAGAGGCCACCAUCUUAGAUCCUUGUUUUGAUGUUCUCCUGUUGCAAUCUGACGCUUCCCAUCUUCCUGAAAGGGGCAGCAGUGAUCAAGAGAGUGAAGAGGACACGCCAGACUAUGAGAACGUCUGCUCUGGAGUUUGAGGCUGAGUCAUUUCAAGGCAGCAAUCCUCGGGAGCUCUAAAUAUCGAUGCGCAAGGUGGAUCUCCAUUGAGCUUGGCAACCUGAGGAUUCCUAUUCCCCAGUCUUCCUCCUAGAUGUCAACAUAACUUAUUGCCUUCCUUUGCACUUUGUCUGACAUGUCCUGAGAACUUCCCAUUGUCUUUGGUAGCAAGAUUCAUAAACUUGAUGGUCCAGGUGUAUCUGGUCAUCUCCUCUCCUCCGCCCCUUUUCUCUCAAGCAAUCUGUUGUUGGCUACAUAAAAAUCAGGAGUUCCA
This is a non-coding RNA of Pogona vitticeps (central bearded dragon), 530 nucleotides long. Lineage: Eukaryota; Metazoa; Chordata; Lepidosauria; Squamata; Agamidae. The record is from RefSeq and is a predicted model, not a curated record.